UCAAAUGAGAACUUUGAAGGCCGA
Molecule: non-coding RNA, 24 nt
Filed under: Arabidopsis thaliana (thale cress)
Lineage: Eukaryota; Viridiplantae; Streptophyta; Magnoliopsida; Brassicales; Brassicaceae
Also listed under: 2 other names
Source: RNAcentral